UACAGUCAAAUCAUGCUGAAAAUGAUGGUUCUCAUUCGAUCACCAAAGUUAAGCAGCACUGAGCCUGGUUUGUACUUAGAUUGUGGACAGUUUGGGAACACCAUGUAUUGUAA
Molecule: non-coding RNA, 113 nt
Organism: Acanthosepion pharaonis
Lineage: Eukaryota; Metazoa; Mollusca; Cephalopoda; Sepiida; Sepiidae
Source: the annotation of a GenBank genome assembly